AAAGAGAAGCGACCUCGCGAGAGCAAGCGGACCUCAUAAAGUGCGUCGUAGUCCGGAUUGGAGUCUGCAACUCGACUCCAUGAAGUCGGAAUCGCUAGUAAUCGUGGAUCAGAAUGCCACGGUGAAUACGUUCCCGGGCCUUGUACACACCGCCCGUCACACCAUGGGAGUGGGUUGCAAAAGAAGUAGGUAGCUUAACCUUCGGGAGGGCGCUUACCACUUUGUGAUUCAUGACUGGGGUGAAGUCGUAACAAGGUAACCGUAGGGGAACCUGCGGUUGGAUCACCUCCUU
RNAcentral lists this ribosomal RNA (292 nucleotides) under Shigella flexneri. Its description in RNAcentral is "partial 16S ribosomal RNA". It matches the Rfam family "Bacterial small subunit ribosomal RNA", at positions 1241 to 1532 of the family's 1533-position model. Lineage: Bacteria; Pseudomonadati; Pseudomonadota; Gammaproteobacteria; Enterobacterales; Enterobacteriaceae. The record is from RNAcentral.